This 217-nucleotide ribosomal RNA is filed under the name uncultured bacterium. Its description in RNAcentral is "partial 16S ribosomal RNA". It matches the Rfam family "Bacterial small subunit ribosomal RNA", at positions 29 to 259 of the family's 1533-position model. The record is from RNAcentral.
AACGAACGCUGGCGGCAGGCCUAACACAUGCAAGUCGAACGCCGUAGCAAUACGGAGUGGCAGACGGGUGAGUAACGCGUGGGAACAUACCCCUCGGUUCGGAAUAACUCAGGGAAACUUGAGCUAAUACCGGAUACGUCCGAGGUUUUAAUCGGCCUUGGAGAAAGAUUUAUCGCCGGAGGAUUGGCCCGCGUCUGAUUAGCUUGUUGGUGAGGUA